CUGCUCAAAGGGUUUGCUGCGGUUCCAUCUCACUGACGGUCAAGUGGUUCGAGAGUAAUUGAGAGUUGUUGUCGGCGAUUAAGAGAAAGUAACAAAUGGGUUUGUAGUGGUUCAGUUACUGCUGUCUGAGAUGGGGAUCUGAAGAAGGAGAAGAAGAACUGAGAUUCAAAGUUUACAAGUGGUGGAAAUAAGAUGGGUUUCAACUGAAUUUAAUGGUGGUGUUGUUUCAGUUCAACUGAGCUGAAAUGGAGAUGGAACGGGUUUGUUCAUCAGUGGGGCUGCUGUUGAUAUUGAAAAUGUUUUGAUUUUGAAGAAAGAAUGAUGAAUUUGUGCAUACAGGGUGUUUGUAAUUACGCCUGACAGAAUAAUGAUUAAGAUGGAAUUGCAGGUGGAAUGGCUAGUCUGUGGUUCAAUGAUGCUGCAGAAAAUAGUGGUGAUGGACUGAUGAAGCAGGGAUGGUUGAUGGCGGGGAUAUCAAAUGAAGAGCAGGGUUUGCAAGAAGCUACAACAGUUGGAGUUUGUAGGAAGAAUUGUGUUUGCUGCCAUGGAUUUUACAAGGGUUUUAUGGCUUGAGUAUCUGGUAGGUUUGGUUGAUGGCCGGAAUAUCAAACUAAGAGCAUUAAGAAGAACAGUUGGGUACUGAAGGUGAUUAUGGUGGUGCUCAACUGUCUUGGUUUUAAGGGUUUACUGAGAUUGGAGGAGUGGCAGUAGAGAUGGUUAUGAAACUUAGUUCGAAUUGAAGAAUGUUGCAGCUGCUUGACUAUGGAGUUGAGUUCUGUGUUGCGGCUAGUAUUGAGGUUAAUGUGAUGCUGCUUCCAGGAUCAAAGGUGAACUGAAAUGGUGCUCUAGCUCGUGGUGGUUCUGCUGUGAUGGAGUUGGUGGCGAUAUGUGUUGUCUCAAGAGUUUGCAAGGCUGAGAUGGUAGAGCUACAGUUGGAGAAACGGAUGAGAGCUGGGUACUGAGACAGUGGUGGUAUCUGAAAUUACAGAACUGAGAAAGAAAGUAAUGGAUGUUAUUGCAGCGAUGAUUCGCAGAAACUGGUGUUGUUGUUGGUAGAAUGCUAGAAGCUGCAGAAUGGUAUGAGCUGGAAUGGCGGGAUUAUAUAAAGUGCUGUGUAUUGGUGCCUGAACUGAGAAGAUGUCAUGGAUUUGGUGGUUAAUGUGACUGGAUGAGAAGUGGUGAUGCUGUUUAGAUGAAUGCCUAGGUUCAGGUGGUGGUUGAAUGAUGCAGGAGUGGACUGGAAAUGAUAUAUUGCAGUGUGGUGCUGUGGGUUUGGUUCAAAUGGAAUGUUGGUUGCUGUUUUGCAAUGUGUGCCGUGACUGUAUGCGAAGGCGAAGGUUUUCGAGAGAUUUUAGAAGAGCAAGAAGCAAGUGCCAAACUGUUAGCACUACUGCUGUGGCUUGAGGUUGUGGUAUAGAGAUGAUGGACCUGACAGAUGAAGGUGGUCUGAUGUUGUAUUGCAGUUAGUGGGUUGAGGUAGUGCAGGUUAUGUUGCUGAUGGUUCUGUGAUAGCUGUGACAGUUUGGUUGUUUCUGUGUUGAUAAAUGAAGCUGCAGAACGGACGUGGUGAUUGCAAUGGAUUGUAUGUGAAUUACAGGGAAGCAGAGUUGGUAUUGCGGUUGCCUGGAGGUGCUGUUGAAGGCUAGAAUAGGCUGUCAGUUCCAAAGAACUGAAGGCCAAAUAUCUAAGUAGGAAUUACUUCAAUUUUGGUUAUGCUAGAUACAAUAGGCCCUGAAUUGCAAGUUCUUAAUAAAAGUGAAAAAUCGAUUGCACUGAAGGCUGAAUCAUCGGUUGUUUUGACUCCGGAUCAAGAUAAAGAAGCAACUUCAGAUGUAUUGCCAAUCAAUUAUGAUGGAUUAGCAAAGGCAGUAAAGAAAGGAGACACCAUCUUUCUAGGUCAAUACCUGUUCACAGGAAGUGAAACUACAUCAGUUUGGCUUGAGAUAUAUACUUUACCUGGAAGCGGUGCAACAGAUAUGUACUCGAAUUGUAAGCAGCGGAUAUAUAUGUAUCAAACGACAUCAAAGUUGGUUGGGAGACAACCGGCCGUUGAUGAUGAGCAUAUGGAGUUGGUACUAUGGUGUUGAGCUGUUAAUAUUGAACUAAAGCCCCAACUGCUAUGGAAUUGCAUUAGCCAAUACAGUCUCCAUGAGUCGUGAAGAGUCGACCAAAGAUGAGAAAAAUGCUAUUGAAAAAUCGCCACAAUAAUAGGGAUUUUCCGGUGUAGAAUG
This is a long non-coding RNA of Papaver somniferum (opium poppy), 2231 nucleotides long. RefSeq lists it as uncharacterized. Lineage: Eukaryota; Viridiplantae; Streptophyta; Magnoliopsida; Ranunculales; Papaveraceae. The record is from RefSeq and is a predicted model, not a curated record. The transcript has 5 exons.